RNAcentral lists this ribosomal RNA (346 nucleotides) under Clostridioides difficile. Its description in RNAcentral is "bacterial SSU rRNA". It matches the Rfam family "Bacterial small subunit ribosomal RNA", at positions 1136 to 1481 of the family's 1533-position model. The record is from RNAcentral. Lineage: Bacteria; Bacillati; Bacillota; Clostridia; Peptostreptococcales; Peptostreptococcaceae.
CACUCUAGAGAGACUGCCAGGGAUAACCUGGAGGAAGGUGGGGAUGACGUCAAAUCAUCAUGCCCCUUAUGCUUAGGGCUACACACGUGCUACAAUGGGUAGUACAGAGGGUUGCCAAGCCGUAAGGUGGAGCUAAUCCCUUAAAGCUACUCUCAGUUCGGAUUGUAGGCUGAAACUCGCCUACAUGAAGCUGGAGUUACUAGUAAUCGCAGAUCAGACUGCUGCGGUGAAUGCGUUCCCGGGUCUUGUACACACCGCCCGUCACACCACGGGAGUUGGAGACGCCCGAAGCCGAUUAUCUAACCUUUUGGAAGAAGUCGUCGAAGGUGGAAGCAAUAACUGGGGU